CAGCCCUGCGGAAGUGUUUGGCGGUAGCUCAAUCUCCAGGCCUUUUAAAAUGAGACCUGAUUGUUCAAAAGGCGUCAGAGAGGGAAGCUAGAAAGUCACAGAGUAUGGAAAUGGGAAAACACUCUGCAAGAUGAGGACAUCAAGACUCAGAGAAGCCUGUAGUUGUCUCAAAUCACACUUGCUACUAAAUGAAGCAGUCUUGGUAUUCUGAGGCUGGAGCAAAAUGCGACAAAGCAACGGUGCAAGACCCACUCGAGCACGCUCGGCUGUUGUAAGGAAACAAAACAAAAACACCACGUUUGCCUUCGUGUGCACACAGAACACACAGUGCUUUCUGAGAUUCACUCGAACGUCAAUGGCAUUUUGCUGCACAUUCCCUGGAGGGUAGCGGCAUCAUAGGAAUCCAAUUUUACUGUGGGAGAGGUUUUCGCAGCAGAGCAUGAAAAGAACACUCUGUGCAGAGAUGACAGAGGAUUUCAGUGUCACUGCUAUUUGGAAGUGUUCUGCUGUAAUUUCUCACAGGCACAAGAUUCAGGCGG
Molecule: long non-coding RNA, 539 nt
Organism: Suricata suricatta (meerkat)
Lineage: Eukaryota; Metazoa; Chordata; Mammalia; Carnivora; Herpestidae
Exons: 6
Source: RefSeq, a predicted model, not a curated record